GUAUUUAUAGACCUUGAAAUGAAAGUAAACAUUGCAACCUAACCUCAAAAUUCACAUGGAUUUGAAAAGCUUCAACGUUAUUCGGCACUUUUUAUCAAAUUUAAUAAUAAGAUUGCACUUUGAUUUAGAAAUAAAAUAAUUUUUAGUUUGUUUCAUAAUGUCAAUCACUGGUCGAGAAAUAAUAACGCUUCAAAUAGGACAUUAUUCAAAUUAUGUUGGAGCACAUUGGUGGAACUUGCAGGAAGCUGCAUUCUCUAAUAAUACAGAAAAUCCGUCAGAGAUAAACAAUGACGUUCUCUUCAGAGAAGGACAAACUAGACGAUGUGAAGUUACAUUCACUCCUCGCCUUGUGUUGAGCGACCUGCAAGGCAGUCUUGGAGCGCUGACUGAAGAUGGCGGUCUGUAUGAGGAUCACCUGCAGCCCGAUCCAUCGCUUGCUCUCUGGCCGCGAGAUAAGGUGCAAGUGGAGGUCGCUGAGGAGCCUCUCGAGAAGAACGAAUUCCUUAGCGACUUGGAUGCCGGUUGCAGUAGGGUGGAACUCGUGCGUAACAGUGAUGAUCUGAAGAGAGAGAAAGCCAUCCCGAAACGUUACAAGCUGGAUGACUCUGUCAACGUUUGGUCGGAUUAUCUGAGAACUUUCUACCAUCCCAGAUCCCUGGCUAUCACUAAUAAAUACAAGCACAAUGACGAGAUAACUCCUUUCAAGCUCUUCGGCCAGGGCACCGCCUUGUGGAAAAAUGAGCAUUACCAGGAAGAUUUCACUGAUCGUAUCCGCGCCUACAUGGAAGAAGCAGACAACGCUCAGGGCUUCCAGGUACUCAUGGACGCCCACGACGCAUUCUCCGGUAUGUCCUGUUCCGCUCUGCAAUACCUGAAGGACGAGUACCCGUCGAAGGCCAGCCUCGCCGUGGUCUGCAUGCCGGCCUGGUUCGGCGAGUCCUCUACUCAGGACGACUCGGCGAGAGUGCUGAACUGGGCGUUGACUCUAGGCUCGCUGCCGGAACUCUGCUCACUGUUCACACCGGUCAGCACGGUCGAAAGUGGCUGGCGGUAUCCAAACACGUACCGGACGUUUCCGUAUCUCAAUUACAAUAGCCAACUGCACUACCACAGUAGUGCAAUCGUGGCGGCCGGUCUGGAGACGGCCAGCCUGCUAUAUCGAGUGCGGUCCACACGCUCGGCGAGUCUCCAGGACGUGACGAGCGACCUGCGAGUGCUGGGCCGAGCGGCGGCCGCCCUCAGCCUGAGGCUGCCCCUGGCCAUUGGCCGGCACUCGUCGCUGCUGGAGACACUCGAGAAGUGGGUGGAGCCGGCCUCGCUGUUCACCAGUCUCACUCCGCACUGCUCACUAGACAGCCGCGUCGACUUGCAGGCUGUGGUCAUACGGGGUGUCGGCAAGGAUAGACUCAUGGGUAAACUACCAGAUGGGGCUGACCCCAGCAACCCAGCCUAUCAGUGCCGCACAGUGGAGGAAAUGCUCAGUCUGUUCAUAUCGUUCUCAAACCAGGACCACAGUGUCAGGACAAGGGUGACGUCAUGCGCCGACCCUCUGGGCACCUCAGAUCCGUUCCCACACAUCUUCAACGAACAGCUGAUCGCACCUGACGGAUAUCUCAAGGAGUAUGUCGAUGAAAACAGUCAUACAGGUGUCCAAAAAAGCGCUGCCUUAGCCGGCCUGCAUAGCACGGAUUCUCUGGGCGAGAUGCUACAGUCUCUUCACAAAGAAACAAAACGAAUCAAGGUCAGCCGACUGCCAGGCUUCUUCGAAUCGGGUCUGGAGAGUUUGGAGUGUGAAGAGAAACUGGAACAGCUGUUGUGUCUGAGUGAGUGCUACGGACACUCCUAUGACCAGUGAUCUAUGAUCUAUGCGUGAGUGUCGUCUAUAGGUGCGUACAGAUAUACGCGCCUCGAACACGCUUCGCACUCGCUCCGAUCAUGAUCGUUACGCGAGAUGUUACGCAAGGGUUCGCAUUGUGUCGUUACGCAAGGGUUCGCAUUGUGUCGUAUUGUUGACUUCGCUACAACCUAACCUCACAAAUGUGAAACAUUCAAUCCAGCUGAUCGGCUGACAAAAACUAAAUAAAAUAUUCUGACCAGGGGAUUCUGGUAGCCUAAUAAUACAUUAUGUUUAUAUAAUAAAUUGAUGAUAAUUAUUAUGUUUGUUGCAUUUAUGCUGACGUUUUAUUACAAAAAAGGUUAUGUCUGUCAAUGUUUUGAAAGGUGAAAGGCGUGGUGUGGAGUUUGGCUUCUUUCUUCUAAAUUUAAAUAUAAAAUGAAAACAGUUACUGUAGUCAUCAUAAAGAUGAUUACGUCAUCUGUUAUUUCUCAGCAUUAAUUUUAUUUCUAAACAAAUCCAACUCUAUGAAUCGGAGGAUAGAAACAUCUGUAGCAACAUAUACAAAUCAAUUACACCAAAAAAGCUCAUGAGUGAAAAAGGACUCACCAUAUCUAUUACUAAAUAGAGUUACUUGAAAAAAUAAUGUUGAAAACAAUGUCUGAGACUCUGUCUCAAAGACAAAUAAUAGUGCAGUAAUGAAUAACAUCACAUUACAGUUUACAACCUUCAAUAGAGUAAGAGAAGCAGUGAAAAUUAGCAGAUGAGGUGACAAUAGGGUACUGUAUAUUAGUCAGCUUUUCAAUAGGUUGUCUUCACAUGGUUACAAAAUGUGCCAAUAAAUCAAACUCUAAAGUGUACUGGUAGUCAGUAGGUCGACAUUUCAUUUGAAUAACUAAGAUAUUUGAAUAAUUAGGAUAUUAAUAAUUGACCGAAAGAAGUGAGGUCUAAGAAUCAAGUCGACGGUUUGGCAUUUCUCUUAAUGUUUAAAUGUUUCUAUGUUGCGCAUUUACGGCGAAA
This 2854-nucleotide unclassified non-coding RNA is filed under the name Nilaparvata lugens (brown planthopper). RNAcentral describes it as "protein misato homolog 1, transcript variant X1". Lineage: Eukaryota; Metazoa; Arthropoda; Insecta; Hemiptera; Delphacidae. The record is from RNAcentral.